CCUACGGGUGGCAGCAGUCGAGAAUCAUUCACAAUGGGGGAAACCCUGAUGGUGCGACGCCGCGUGAGCGAUGAAGUAUUUCGGUAUGUAAAGCUCUAUCAGCAGGGAAGAAAAUGACGGUACCUGACUAAGAAGCCCCGGCUAACUACGUGCCAGCAUCCGCGGUAAUACGUAGGGGGCACGCGUUAGACGGAUUUACUGGGUGUAAAGGGAGCGUAGACGGCUUGGCAAGCCAGAUGGGAAAGGCUGGGGCUCAACCCCAGGACUGCAUUUGGAACUGUCAUGCUAGAGUGUCGGAGAGGCAGGCGGAAUGCCUAGUGUAGCGGUGAAAUGCGUAGAUAUUAGGAGGAACACCAGUGGAGAAGGCGGCCUGCUGGACGAUGACUGACGUUGAGGCUCGAAAGCGUGGGGAGCAAACAGGAUUAGAUACCCGGGUAGUC
RNAcentral lists this ribosomal RNA (440 nucleotides) under uncultured bacterium. Its description in RNAcentral is "partial 16S ribosomal RNA". It matches the Rfam family "Bacterial small subunit ribosomal RNA", at positions 338 to 795 of the family's 1533-position model. The record is from RNAcentral.